AAAACAAAUAAAGCAAAGUAACUCAUCAAUGAGUUGGCCCUCAUUCAAUGAACUUAGACCUUUUCAAAUUCCCAAAGCCAUCUUAUCUUCCCAAUUCCAUGACCAUCUUAGCAGAACAUGGAAAAACUCGAACAACACUAUCCUCUUCAGCAAAACCUUACGUCGUUCCCCUCCCAUUAUCCCAAGUACAGCAACCCAAAUACAUCUGAAUCUCCAAACCAAUAGCACAGCCUUCCCCCAAGAAACCUACCCUUUCACCAAUCCCACUCAACCUCAGUCCCCAUCCCAGCUCCCCCACCACGAAGACACCCAUCAUUCAACCGACGCCUAAAUACGAUCCUACCCCUUCCCACCCUCCAAAUUAUUCAAGAACCCACUCAAGGGACUUAGCUUAACCUUCGAUCAGAACUUUUAGGUGCUACAUUCACCAUUUCUCCUCCCAACUCCCCCGUGCCGACCAUGUCGGUCCAUUUCCACCAUGGCCCUAACAAAAUCAGGCACAUUCCCCACCAAGUAAGCACUCCCACCCCUCCUCAACCCCUCUUUUGCUACUAUAUGAGCAACUGUAUUUGCAUAUCUGGAAACAUGUCUAUAUGAACACCUGCUAAACAUCUCUACUUUAAUCUUAGCAUCAUAAAUAUAGGCCCCUAUAUCCGAACCAUCAUUUAUGCAUGAUCUCAUUUUUUUAAUCAUCGACAGAGCAUUACUUUCCAGAAUCACCUCUCGAAAUCCUAAAUCAACCCCCAAGCUCAACGCUUGAAGACAAACGAGGGCAUUGCAAACCCCGUAGGCAACAUCAUAAUUUAUUUUAAGAAAAGGAGAAUCCGGGGGCCUCCACCUCUCAUACUCAAUCUUUCCGACAGGUAACUUAUUCUGCAUUGCGUCAUUUUCAUUCAUAUCAUUCUCAACCUUUUUUUAAUACAUCCUGUGGUAGAAGAAUCACCUUGUCAUGGAUCAGCCUAUUCCUCGCAGACCAAAUAAACCAGAGGGUACAAACCACAAUUCUGCAUAUAGUACUUGGGACCAUGGAAAAAAUAUACAAGAACAAUCUCUAAAUAUAUGUUCAACAGUCUGCGCCACCUGUACAUUUUGGACACAUAGUUGAAUUUCUCAACCUCUUAUUCUAGAAAUUAUGAUAGUUAGGAAUGUAAUUUUUAAAGAUGCACCAAACUGUAAUCUUUAUUUUCUCUGGUAAAUUAAUUUACCAAAGGUUUUUGUAAAAUGCUCUGUAAUUAUAGUAAGUACCAAGCACCUCAGGUGAAAUAUCCUCGUGAAGGAAGAUAUUGUAAGCACUCUGCACUGUAAAUUCACCCGAUAGUUCAUCACCCCAAACCACCAUAUCGUCUAGUAGAUUUCUAGCAAGAGGAAUAUAUCUGACUCUCUUCGCAACCUCAUCAGUCAAAUGCGUGGUGAGUUUCUGUUCAA
Gossypium arboreum is the source of this 1425-nucleotide long non-coding RNA. RefSeq lists it as uncharacterized. The record is from RefSeq and is a predicted model, not a curated record. Lineage: Eukaryota; Viridiplantae; Streptophyta; Magnoliopsida; Malvales; Malvaceae. The transcript is spliced from 3 exons.